This 458-nucleotide ribosomal RNA is filed under the name uncultured bacterium. RNAcentral's name for it is "bacterial SSU rRNA". It matches the Rfam family "Bacterial small subunit ribosomal RNA", at positions 346 to 796 of the family's 1533-position model. The record is from RNAcentral.
AGGCAGCAGUUGGGAAUCCUCCACGAUGGACGCAAGUCUGAUGGAGCAACGCCACGUGAGUGAAGAAGGGUUUCGGCUCGUAAAGCUCUGUUGUUGGUGAGGAAGGACAGGGGUAGUAACUGACCUUUGUUUGACGGUAAUCAAUUAGAAAGUCACGGCUAACUACGUGCCAGCAGCCGCGGUAAUACGUAGGUGGCAAGCGUUGUCCGGAUUUAUUGGGCGUAAAGCGAGUGCAGGCGGCUCGAUAAGUCUGAUGUGAAAGCCUUCGGCUCAACCGGAGAAUUGCAUCAGAAACUGUCGAGCUUGAGUACAGAAGAGGAGAGUGGAACUCCAUGUGUAGCGGUGAAAUGCGUAGAUAUAUGGAAGAACACCGGUGGCGAAGGCGGCUCUCUGGUCUGUUACUGACGCUGAGGCUCGAAAGCAUGGGUAGCGGACAGGAUUAGAUACCCUAGUAGUCC